Medicago truncatula (barrel medic) is the source of this 1247-nucleotide long non-coding RNA. RefSeq lists it as uncharacterized. The transcript is spliced from 4 exons. The record is from RefSeq and is a predicted model, not a curated record. NCBI's taxonomy places the organism in Eukaryota, Viridiplantae, Streptophyta, Magnoliopsida, Fabales, Fabaceae.
UAUUUAAGGUGAGAAUGAGAUUUAUAAAUCAUAAAGUGAUAAAACCAUAUUGUAUCUCAUAUAUGCAAAGUGGAGAAAGUAUGGCUAAAAUUGUAAAGUUUUUUUAUUUCAUGAUUAUCUUUAUUUCUCCAUUUGUUGUUAAAACAAAAGAAGACAUAAGCAUCUGGCACCAAAAACUUCCUGGGGGAUUAUGUUCUUCUAAUAAUGAGUGUCCAACGUAUGGUUGCCCUCAACAAGCUGUGUGUAAUUUUUUUUAUCCUGCUGUUCUGCAUCAAGGAUCUCGGAUAGGUUUCUGUGGUUGUUUUUGAGUGAUGUGUUCGUAACAUUCUACUAGAAAAUUUUAUAAGUCCUUAAGGUCAAAAGUCCAAGGCAGAGCCAAGCAAGGUCCAAUUCCAGGUGGCAUUAUCCCAUUGGUCCAGGAAUACACAUGUCAGCUAUAAAUACAAACACAGUGUCAGAAAUUUCCAGAACCCACACAGUCAGUGACACAUCAACACAAACAGAUCCAGAUUUUCUCUCUCUUUUCUGUUAGAUCAAAACAGAAAAAAUCACCAAGAACAAAAACCCUAAAAAAAUUAUCCAGAACUCAAAUUCAUCACAGUUCUCAGUGAUUCAUCAAAGAAUCAUCAUCAUCGAACCGAAUCCUUCACAAUUCCAGUGCGGAUCCGUCACCUUUAGCAACGAAUCCAAGCACGAUCACGAAGGAUCCGAAAGUUUGAGAAGAAGAGGGAAAGAAGCGGAUUCGGACCGGUAAAGAAGAAGAAGAGAAGAACCGAUUUAUUUUCGGAUCCAAGCCAGAAAAUCAAAACCGCGCCAAUAUUCAAGUUUUCCGAAGAUCUCGUUCAAAAUCUCCAACCAAAAAUCACAGAGAGUUCAGCGAAGAAGGCGCAACCAUUGUCCAACCUCUCUUCAAAGCAAGCUAACAAUUUAGAUUCAUAAUUCCUGAAGAUACCUCCACAUGAAGAAGUAUUGUUGCUAGAGGAGCCGUCAGUGUUGCAUUUGAUCCAGUCGGUAACAGGUGGGGACCAAAUAACUUCUUUGAUGAUAGGUGGUUUUGGAGGCUUGAUCCUGAUGUUAAACUUCUUCAACAAUACAAAGUCUCUGAUAGAGGAAUUAGAAGUUUUUGUAGUAUUGUUACCAGCUUAUGACUUAUUAUAGUUGUAUCAAGAUACUAGUAGUGUAUGUUAACUAAACCUAAAACAAUAGGAUCCCUUGUCUACUAAAAUCCACAUGAUACUUUUGACAAA